Molecule: ribosomal RNA, 624 nt
Filed under: Cystobasidium laryngis
Lineage: Eukaryota; Fungi; Basidiomycota; Cystobasidiomycetes; Cystobasidiales; Cystobasidiaceae
Description: partial large subunit ribosomal RNA
Rfam family: Eukaryotic large subunit ribosomal RNA
Source: RNAcentral
UAAGCGGAGGAAAAGAAACUAACAAGGAUUCCCCUAGUAACGGCGAGUGAAGUGGGAAAAGCUCAACUUUGAAAUCUGGUACUUUCAGUAUCCGAAUUGUAGUCUCAAGAAGUGUUUUCUGUGCCGGUCCAUGUAUGAGUCUGUUGGAACACAGCGUCAUAGAGGGUGACAACCCCGUUCAUGACAUGGAUCCCGGUGCUUUGUGAUACACUCUCGAAGAGUCGAGUUGUUUGGGAAUGCAGCUCAAAUUGGGUGGUAAAUUCCAUCUAAAGCUAAAUAUUGGCGAGAGACCGAUAGCAAACAAGUACCGUGAGGGAAAGAUGAAAAGCACUUUGGAAAGAGAGUUAACAGUACGUGAAAUUGUUGAAAGGGAAACGAUUGAAGUCAGACGUGCGUGAUGCGGUUCAGCUUUAGUUCGCUAGAGUGUACUCCGUAUCUUUGCAGGCCAACAUCGGUUUUGUUAGUCGGAUAAAGGUUUGAGAAAUGUGGCACCUUCGGGUGUGUUAUAGUCUCAGACUGAAUACGAUUGAUGGGACCGAGGAACGCAGCGCGCCGCAAGGCAAAGGUUCCGACCUUUUCGCGCUUAGGAUGUUGGUGAAAUGGCUUUAAACGACCCGUCUGAAA